UCAGAGGGCUGUAUGCAGACUGUGGAGAGCAGGAGUGCCCUGCCUGACCAUAGUUCUUGGAGAUUCUCCCUGAUGGAGCGUAGCCUGACGGUGACCUCUCAUCAUGCUAACCGGCAGCUCAAUUUCGUUCUGCAAGGAGAACGACGCCAUGUGGUUCGCCCAAUGCGUCCAAGAGGAACUGAAUGUUACACUGGAUGCCAGCCGUGUUGUUGGCCUCAAGCUGGACUUCGUUUGAGCCAAUGGCAGCAUCAGUGA
RNAcentral lists this long non-coding RNA (255 nucleotides) under Fukomys damarensis (Damara mole-rat). RNAcentral describes it as "lncRNA (ENSFDAG00000024187.1)". The record is from RNAcentral. Lineage: Eukaryota; Metazoa; Chordata; Mammalia; Rodentia; Bathyergidae.